AGAUGUGAGGGCCAUCUGGCUGCAACAUUUAUCACUCCAUUGAUCUCCAGGGUUGAUUUGGUGGAUCUGGCUGGCUAGGCAGGGGUCCCUUUCCUCCCUCACCAUUCCAUGUGUAUCCCUUCCAAAGAUGCACUCGAGGUGGGAGAGGAUGACCUUCCACCAUAGAGAAAGACAGUUCAUUUUUUGGUCAAGGGUAUACAAGAAGUUGCUCUCCCCUAGUAGAACCUCCAAAAUAAUCUCACAAGUAAGCCUUACCCUAUUUGAUUUUACAGAAUUGAAACAUUUGUAUUAGUGAAAAGGUGAACAUACAGAUCAGUGGAACAGAAUAAAUAGUGUGUCU
Felis catus (domestic cat) is the source of this 340-nucleotide non-coding RNA. The record is from Rfam. Lineage: Eukaryota; Metazoa; Chordata; Mammalia; Carnivora; Felidae.